RNAcentral lists this ribosomal RNA (323 nucleotides) under uncultured soil bacterium. Its description in RNAcentral is "bacterial SSU rRNA". It matches the Rfam family "Bacterial small subunit ribosomal RNA", at positions 26 to 351 of the family's 1533-position model. The record is from RNAcentral.
AGAUUGAACGCUGGCGGCAGGCCUAACACAUGCAAGUCGAGCGGUAGAGAGGUGCUUGCACCUCUUGAGAGCGGCGGACGGGUGAGUAAUGCCUAGGAAUCUGCCUAGUGGUGGGGGAUAACGUUCGGAAACGGACGCUAAUACCGCAUACGUCCUACGGGAGAAAGCGGGGGACCUUCGGGCCUCGCGCCAUUAGAUGAGCCUAGGUCGGAUUAGCUAGUUGGUGAGGUAAUGGCUCACCAAGGCGACGAUCCGUAACUGGUCUGAGAGGAUGAUCAGUCACACUGGAACUGAGACACGGUCCAGACUCCGUACGGGAGCAG